GAGGGUAGAGCUCAGCAGUAGAGCGCAUGCUCAGCAUGCAUGAGGUCCUGGGUUCGAGCCCCAGUCCCUCCG
RNAcentral lists this transfer RNA (72 nucleotides) under Camelus ferus (Wild Bactrian camel). It matches the Rfam family "tRNA". Rfam says of the family: Transfer RNA (tRNA) molecules are approximately 80 nucleotides in length. Their secondary structure includes four short double-helical elements and three loops (D, anti-codon, and T loops). Further hydrogen bonds mediate the characteristic L-shaped molecular structure. tRNAs have two regions of fundamental functional importance: the anti-codon, which is responsible for specific mRNA codon recognition, and the 3' end, to which the tRNAs corresponding amino acid is attached (by aminoacyl-tRNA synthetases). tRNAs cope with the degeneracy of the genetic code in two manners: having more than one tRNA (with a specific anti-codon) for a particular amino acid; and 'wobble' base-pairing, i.e. permitting non-standard base-pairing at the 3rd anti-codon position. Lineage: Eukaryota; Metazoa; Chordata; Mammalia; Artiodactyla; Camelidae. The record is from Rfam by way of RNAcentral.